Molecule: long non-coding RNA, 3372 nt
Filed under: Homo sapiens (human)
Lineage: Eukaryota; Metazoa; Chordata; Mammalia; Primates; Hominidae
Description: non-protein coding lnc-CHD1L-5:1
Source: RNAcentral
GGAGGGGGCGCCAGGCAGGGCCUGUCCCGCCUGGGGAGACUGCGCCCGGGAUAAUAGGAGCGCUUGGCCUCUGAGACUACCCGGCAGAAGGGACGUCCCCAAAUGACACUCGGAGGCCGCCUCCCUGGGCUCCGGUGCUCGGUGCCGGGAGGAGCGGCACGGCUUUCUACCCCGCCUCAGGUGCGCCAGCACGUUUUCUGGGCAGCAUCUGUGUGUUAGGCGACCGGAGAGGUGGGUUCCUUAUAGGGAAUAAGAAAACUGAAACUGACUUCCAACUGCAGGCAGAAGGAAGCAGUGGUCAUUGCUGGAGGUUAAAACUGUUCUGACCGGGCGCAGUGGCUCACGCCUGUAUUCCCAGCACUUUGGGAGGCUGAGGCGAGCAGAUCACGAAGUCAGGAGAUCAAGACCAUCCUGGCCAACAAGGUGAAACCCCGGCUCUACUAAAAAUACAAAAAUUAGCUGGGCGUGGUGGCGCGCGCCGGAAGUCCCAGCUACUUGGGAGGAUGAGGCAGAAGAAUCGCUUGAACCCGGGAGGCGGAGGUUGCGGUGAGCCGAGAUCGCGCCAUUGCACUCCAGCCUGGCGACUCAGCGAUACUCCGUCCCCCUCUCCCCGCCCCAAGAAAAAUCUGUUCAGUGGGGAGCGACAAGGAAGGAGCUUUCAGCCCGACUGGGGUCGCAGGGAAGAAUUCAAGAUGGCGUGUUUAGGAGCUCUAGCUCCUUGACAAAUUAGUAAAAUGUUAGUCUUAGGAGAAGAACGAAAAGGCUCUCCUAGGCUAAGAAACAGCAUACACAGUGAGAAACCUCAGAAGAAAUAAAAUUCAAGGAAGAUAGCAACAACGAAAACAUCAGAAGGAACACUAAAGUAGUCAAAUCAGCCUAGCAGAAACAAAGUACGUUAACCAAUGGAAAACUGACGGAGAGAAAUAAACUGUUUUUGCACAGCUAAAUGGAAAUGACUUUUGAAUUAUCUGCUUUGGAAGAUUAUCCAUGACACUGUUCUGCCCUGCUCUGCUCUAACAACAUUUUUUUUAUACAGGCAGAGAAAUAAUAGUGAUUCUGCUCACCUAAAGGAAGAUAGACCCAAUUCAAAGUGCCUAAGUCCUGAAUGACAACAAAAGACUGAAGAACUGACAACGAUUAGAGGACACUAAGGAGACUUAACAACUAAAUGCAAAAUGGGACCCUGAAUCUGAUCCUGGAACACAAAAACUAAAUUAGUAGAAAAGUGGUAAAAUAGGUGGUCGCGCGCCCGACCGCCGCAGUCCCAGUCGAGCCGCGACCCUUCCGGCUGCCCCCACCCCACCUCGCCGCCAUGUGCCUCCGCCGCCCAGCGCUGUUCCCGGGCGUGGCGCUGCUUCUCGCCGCGGCCCGCCUCGCGGCUGCCUCCGACGUGCUAGGACUCAGGGACGACAACUUGGAGAGUCGCAUCUCCGACACGGGCUCUGCGGGCCUCAUGCUCGUCGAGUUCUUCGCCCCCUGGUGUGGACACUGCAAGAGACUUGCUCCUGAGUAUGAAGCUGCAGCUACCAGAUUAAAAGGAAUAGUCCCAUUAGCAAAGGCUGAUUGCACUGCCAACACUAACACCUGUAAUAAAUAUGGAGUCAGUGGAUAUCCAACCCUGAAUAUGUUUAGAGAUGGUGAAGAAGCAGGUGCUUAUGAUGGACCUAGGACUGCUGAUGGAAUUGUCAGCCACCUGAAGAAGCAGGCAGGCCCAGCUUCAGUGCCUCUCAGGACUGAGGAAGAAUUUAAGAAAUUCAUUAGUGAUAAAGAUGCCUCUAUAGUAGGUUUUUUCGAUGAUUCAUUCAGUGAAGCUCACUCCGAGUUCCUAAAAGCAGCCAGCAACUUGAGGGAUAACUACCGAUUUGCACAUACGAAUGUUGAGUCUCUGGUGAACGAGUAUGAUGAUAACGGAGAUGGUAUCAUCUUAUUUCGUCCUUCACAUCUCACUAACAAGUUGGAGGACAAGACUGUGGCAUAUACAGUGCAAAAAAUGACCAGUGGCAAAAUUAAAAAGUUUAUCCAGGAAAACAUUUUUGGUAUCUGCCCUCACAUGACAGAAGACAAUAAAGAUUUGAUACAGGGCAAGGACUUACUUAUUGCUUACUAUGAUGUGGACUAUGAAAAGAAUGCUAAAGGUUCCAACUACUGGAGAAACAGGGUAAUGAUGGUGGCAAAGAAAUUCCUGGAUGCUGGGCACAAACUCAACUUUGCUGUAGCUAGCCGCAAAACCUUUAGCCAUGAACUUUCUGAUUUUGGCUUGGAGAGCACUGCUGGAGAGAUUCCUGUUGUUGCUAUCAGAACUGCUAAAGGAGAGAAGUUUGUCAUGCAGGAGGAUUUCUCGCGUGAUGGGAAUGCUCUGGAGAGGUUCCUGCAGGAUUACUUUGAUGGCAAUCUGAAGAGAUACCUGAAGUCUGAACCUAUCCCAGAGAGCAAUGAUGGGCCUGUGAAGGUAGUGGUAGCAGAGAAUUUUGAUGAAAUAGUGAAUAAUGAAAAUAAAGAUGUGCUGAUUGAAUUUUAUGCCCCUUGGUGUGGUCACUGUAAGAACCUGGAGCCCAAGUAUAAAGAACUUGGCGAGAAGCUCAGCAAAGACCUGAAUAUCGUCAUAGCCAAGAUGGAUGCCACAGCCAAUGAUGUGCCUUCUCCAUAUGAAGUCAGAGUUUUCCUACCAUAUACUUCUCUCCAGCCAACAAGAAGCUAAAUCCAAAGAAAUAUGAAGGUGGCCAUGAAUUAAGUGAUUUUAUUAGCUAUCUACAACGAGAAGCUACAAACCCCCCUGUAAUUCAAGAAGAAAAACCCAAGAAGAAGAAGGCACAGGAGGAUCUCUAAAGCAGUAGGCAAACACCACUUUGUAAAAGGACUCUUCCACCAGAGAUGGGAAAACCACUGGGGAGGACUAGGACCCAUAUGGGAAUUAUUACGUCUCAGGGCCGAGAGGACAGAAUGGAUAUAAUCUGAAUCCUGUUAAAUUUUCUCUAAGCCAUUUCUUAGCUGCACUGUUAUGGAAAUACCAGGACCAGUUUAUGUUUGUGGUUUUGGGAAAAAUUAUUGGUGUUGGGGGAAAUGUUGUGGGAGUCGGGUUGAGUUGGGGGUAUUUUCUAAUUUUUUUGUGCAUUUGGAACAGUGACAAUAAAUAAGACCCCUUUAAACUGUAAAAAAAAAAAAAAUAGGAAUGCGGUCCAUGGUUUACUUAAUCGUAUAAUAUCAGUGUUCAUUUUCUUAUUUUGAUAAUUGUCAUAAUGUUGUGUGAAAUAUUCUCUUUAGGGAGCCUGGGAAAGAAUAUAUAAGAACUCUACUAUUUUUGUAACUUUUGUGGAGGACUGCAAUCAUUUCUAAAUAAAUAGUCUUAAAAAUAACUAAAGUAAUAAAAAUAAU